Molecule: ribosomal RNA, 686 nt
Filed under: Enterobacteriaceae bacterium HXF0064
Lineage: Bacteria; Pseudomonadati; Pseudomonadota; Gammaproteobacteria; Enterobacterales; Enterobacteriaceae
Description: bacterial SSU rRNA
Rfam family: Bacterial small subunit ribosomal RNA
Source: RNAcentral
ACAUGCAGUCGAACGGUAACAGAAGCUUGCUUCUUUGCUGACGAGUGGCGGACGGGUGAGUAAUGUCUGGGAAACUGCCUGAUGGAGGGGGAUAACUACUGGAAACGGUAGCUAAUACCGCAUAACGUCGCAAGACCAAAGAGGGGGACCUUCGGGCCUCUUGCCAUCGGAUGUGCCCAGAUGGGAUUAGCUAGUAGGUGGGGUAACGGCUCACCUAGGCGACGAUCCCUAGCUGGUCUGAGAGGAUGACCAGCCACACUGGAACUGAGACACGGUCCAGACUCCUACGGGAGGCAGCAGUGGGGAAUAUUGCACAAUGGGCGCAAGCCUGAUGCAGCCAUGCCGCGUGUAUGAAGAAGGCCUUCGGGUUGUAAAGUACUUUCAGCGGGGAGGAAGGGAGUAAAGUUAAUACCUUUGCUCAUUGACGUUACCCGCAGAAGAAGCACCGGCUAACUCCGUGCCAGCAGCCGCGGUAAUACGGAGGGUGCAAGCGUUAAUCGGAAUUACUGGGCGUAAAGCGCACGCAGGCGGUUUGUUAAGUCAGAUGUGAAAUCCCCGGGCUCAACCUGGGAACUGCAUCUGAUACUGGCAAGCUUGAGUCUCGUAGAGGGGGGUAGAAUUCCAGGUGUAGCGGUGAAAUGCGUAGAGAUCUGGAGGAAUACCGGUGGCGAAGGCGGCCCCCUGGA